RNAcentral lists this ribosomal RNA (1372 nucleotides) under uncultured bacterium. RNAcentral describes it as "bacterial SSU rRNA". It matches the Rfam family "Bacterial small subunit ribosomal RNA", at positions 28 to 1381 of the family's 1533-position model. The record is from RNAcentral.
GAUGAACGCUGGCGGCGUGCCUAAUACAUGCAAGUCGAGCGAACGGACGAGAAGCUUGCUUCUCUGAUGUUAGCGGCGGACGGGUGAGUAACACGUGGAUAACCUACCUAUAAGACUGGGAUAACUUCGGGAAACCGGAGCUAAUACCGGAUAAUAUUUUGAACCGCAUGGUUCAAAAGUGAAAGACGGUCUUGCUGUCACUUAUAGAUGGAUCCGCGCUGCAUUAGCUAGUUGGUAAGGUAACGGCUUACCAAGGCAACGAUGCAUAGCCGACCUGAGAGGGUGAUCGGCCACACUGGAACUGAGACACGGUCCAGACUCCUACGGGAGGCAGCAGUAGGGAAUCUUCCGCAAUGGGCGAAAGCCUGACGGAGCAACGCCGCGUGAGUGAUGAAGGUCUUCGGAUCGUAAAACUCUGUUAUUAGGGAAGAACAUAUGUGUAAGUAACUGUGCACAUCUUGACGGUACCUAAUCAGAAAGCCACGGCUAACUACGUGCCAGCAGCCGCGGUAAUACGUAGGUGGCAAGCGUUAUCCGGAAUUAUUGGGCGUAAAGCGCGCGUAGGCGGUUUUUUAAGUCUGAUGUGAAAGCCCACGGCUCAACCGUGGAGGGUCAUUGGAAACUGGAAAACUUGAGUGCAGAAGAGGAAAGUGGAAUUCCAUGUGUAGCGGUGAAAUGCGCAGAGAUAUGGAGGAACACCAGUGGCGAAAGCGACUUUCUGGUCUGUAACUGACGCUGAUGUGCGAAAGCGUGGGGAUCAAACAGGAUUAGAUACCCUGGUAGUCCACGCCGUAAACGAUGAGUGCUAAGUGUUAGGGGGUUUCCGCCCCUUAGUGCUGCAGCUAACGCAUUAAGCACUCCGCCUGGGGAGUACGACCGCAAGGUUGAAACUCAAAGGAAUUGACGGGGACCCGCACAAGCGGUGGAGCAUGUGGUUUAAUUCGAAGCAACGCGAAGAACCUUACCAAAUCUUGACAUCCUUUGACAACUCUAGAGAUAGAGCUUUCCCCUUCGGGGGACAAAGUGACAGGUGGUGCAUGGUUGUCGUCAGCUCGUGUCGUGAGAUGUUGGGUUAAGUCCCGCAACGAGCGCAACCCUUAAGCUUAGUUGCCAUCAUUAAGUUGGGCACUCUAAGUUGACUGCCGGUGACAAACCGGAGGAAGGUGGGGAUGACGUCAAAUCAUCAUGCCCCUUAUGAUUUGGGCUACACACGUGCUACAAUGGACAAUACAAAGGGCAGCGAAACCGCGAGGUCAAGCAAAUCCCAUAAAGUUGUUCUCAGUUCGGAUUGUAGUCUGCAACUCGACUACAUGAAGCUGGAAUCGCUAGUAAUCGUAGAUCAGCAUGCUACGGUGAAUACGUUCCCGGGUCU